This 71-nucleotide transfer RNA is filed under the name Loxodonta africana (African savanna elephant). It matches the Rfam family "tRNA". Rfam says of the family: Transfer RNA (tRNA) molecules are approximately 80 nucleotides in length. Their secondary structure includes four short double-helical elements and three loops (D, anti-codon, and T loops). The record is from Rfam by way of RNAcentral. Lineage: Eukaryota; Metazoa; Chordata; Mammalia; Proboscidea; Elephantidae.
ACAUUGGUGGUUCAGUGGUAGAAUUCUCACCCUACAUGCUGGAGACCUGGGUUUGAUUCCCAGCCAGUGCA